AGCUUUGCGCAGUGGCAGUAUUGUAGCCAAUGAGGUUUAUCCGAGGCGCGAUUAUUGCUAAUUGAUUUUGAAUUUGUGGUCCAGUAUCAUUCUUUUGCAUCUUUCUAUCCAUUUUUCCCAACACCAUUUGCUG
RNAcentral lists this small nuclear RNA (133 nucleotides) under Zalophus californianus (California sea lion). RNAcentral describes it as "U4 spliceosomal RNA (ENSZCAG00015011869.1)". It matches the Rfam family "U4 spliceosomal RNA". Rfam says of the family: U4 small nuclear RNA (U4 snRNA) is a component of the major U2-dependent spliceosome. The record is from RNAcentral. RNAcentral also lists the same sequence under 1 other name. Lineage: Eukaryota; Metazoa; Chordata; Mammalia; Carnivora; Otariidae.